UAACCUGGUUNGAUCCUGCCAGUAGCAUAUGCUUAUCUUUGAGAUUAAGCCAUGCAUGUCUAAGUAUAAGUUAUAUACGGCGAAACUGCGAAUGGCUCAUUAAAACAGUUAUAGUAUAUUUGAUGAUGUUUUUAUAUGGAUAACCGUUUGGGAAACCAGAGCUAAUACAUGCUUAAAGGCCUUACGGCUGUAUUUAUUAGCUAUAAACCAUUACCUUCGGGUUUUGUGAGGAAUCAUAAUAACUGAUCGAAGCGCACUGGUGUGUGCUAAAUCUUUCUAGUUUCUGCUCUAUCAUGUUUUGAUGGUAGUGUAUUGGACUACCAUGACUAUCACGGGUAACGGAGAAUUAGGGUUCGAUUCCGGAGAGGGAGCCUGAGAAACGGCUACCACAUCCACGGUAGGCAGCAGGCGCGUAAAUUACCCAAUCCUGAUUCAGGGAGGUAGUUACGAGAAAUAUCAACUCAGUUUAUCUGAGAUUUAACUGGACUGAAUAUAAACCAUUCUAUGAAUACGAUUGGAGGGCAAGUCUGGUGCCAGCAGCCGCGGUAACUCCAGCUCCAAUAGUGUAUCUUAACGUUGUUGCAGUUAAAAAGCUCGUAGUUGAAUUUCUGGCUAGCUGACCAACUUAGGUUGGGACGGGCUAGUCAUCCGCGUUGGAAAUCAGCCAGAUGUUUAGUCAUCAGUUGAUGAAAGACGCAUUUUACUUUGAAGAAAUUAGAGUGUUCCAAGCAAGCAUUGUUGAAUAUUACAGCAUGGAAUAAUGGAAUAGGACAUAGUCAUUUUAUUGGUUCUUGACUUUGUAAUGAUUAACAGGGACAGUUGGGGGCAUUCGUAUUCAGUUGUCAGAGGUGAAAUUCGUAGAUUAACUGAAGACGAACUAAUGCGAAAGCAUUUGCCAAGGAUGUUUUCAUUAAUCAAGAACGAAAGUUAGGGGAUCGAAGACGAUUAGAUACCGUCGUAGUCCUAACUAUAAACUAUACCGACUAGGGAUUGGCAGGGGUUUGUCCCCUGUCAGCACCUAAUGAGAAAUCAAAGUCUUUAGGUUCUGGGGGGAGUAUGUUCGCAAGAAUGAAACUUAAAGGAAUUGACGGAAGGGCACCACCAGGAGUGGAGCCUGCGGCUCAAUUUGACUCAACGCGGGGAAACUUACCAGGGCAAGACCUGAGAAUGAUUGACAUUUUGAUAGCUUUUUCUUGAUUACAGGGAUGGUGGUGCAUGGCCGUUCUUAGUUGGUGAAGUGAUUUGUCCGGUUAAUUCCUUUAACAAACGAGACCUUAACCUGCUAAACUAGUCGUUCUUAUUUUAGGGAUUGACUUCUUAGAGGGACUAUGGUUUAAAAUCCAUGGAAGUUUGAGGCAAUAACAGGUCCGUGAUGCCCUUAGACGUUCUGGGCCGCACGUGUGCUACACUGACUCACGCAACGAGUUCUUUAUCUAACCCGAAAGGGGACGGAAAAUCUUGUUAAUAUGAGUCGUGCUAGGGAUUGAUCUUUGCAAUUUUGGAUCAUGAACGAGGAAUUCCUAGUAGGCAUAAGUCAUCAUCUUGUGCCGAUUACGUCCCUGCCCUUUGUACACACCGCCCGUCGCUCCUACCGAUUGAGUGAUCCGGUGAACUUUCUGGACAUUUGGCUUCCGCCGUAAUGGAAGUUAAGCAAAUCUUAUCACUUAGAGGAAGGAAAAGUCGUAACAAGGUUUCCGUAGGUGAACCUGCGGAAGGAUCAUUAACGCCAAAUUAUACUUCUGUCUCAGAUUCGUCUGUAGACUUUAAACACAAGAAACACUAAAUUUUAAACGGUGGAUAUCUUGGUUCCCAUAACGAGGAAGAACGCAGCAAACUGCGAUAAGUAAUGCGAAUUGCAGGAUCCGUGAGUCAUCAAAUUUUCGAACGCAGCUGGCACCACAGGGUAUCUCCAUGUGGUAGGUUUGUUUCAGUGUAUUUGAUUAUCCCAAAACUAAAUGUGAUUGAACCUCGGUUCUCUCAUUAAACCUGAGUGUCAGGUGUUCUGAUCUAGUGAAGUGGUCACUGUCUUCGGACUGGUGGUUUCAUUAGCUCUCUGGACGCUGCAGCACAGAACUGUUAGUCUUUAAAAAUACUUUCACCUGAAAUCAAGCCAGACAACCCGCUGAACUUAAGCAUAUCAGUAAGCGGAGGAAAAGAAAACUAACACUGGNNNNNNUGGUUGAUCCUGCCGGU
Molecule: ribosomal RNA, 2193 nt
Filed under: Chilodochona carcini
Lineage: Eukaryota; Ciliophora; Phyllopharyngea; Exogemmida; Chilodochonidae
Description: SSU rRNA
Rfam family: Eukaryotic small subunit ribosomal RNA (bases 2-1723)
Source: RNAcentral